GCAGCGCAGGGGCUGCUGCUUCGCCACGAAGGAUUUCCCGUGCCGUGGGAGCGGGUUCAGGACCGCUGGUCGGACCUGAGAGUCCCAGCUGGCCCCCCUCCCCCCCACCAAGGCCUGCAGUGGAUAGAGCCUAGCAGAUCCUGGACAAUACUAUCCUAAAAGCUACAUCUCUGACAGUGAUUUCCAGCGACUUUGUCAACACGGUCCGCCCCCAGCAAGUAUAAGAGGAAAAACAACAAAUGUCUUUACUGCCUUGUCUUUCCCCCUUGCCACUUGUCAUUAUUCAAGUUUUGUAAGUUCCUGAUUUCCAUUCAGUGCAGCUGCAAGGUUACCAGCUGUGCUUGCGUUGCAAGACCUGUCACAGUUUGAUUAACUGCCUUCUUUCUGCUUCUGUAAGCCCUCUUGCCUGCCCCGCGAGUUUCACACCAUCAAAUUCCUGCUGCACCAUUCAAACUAGCCAACCCCCUUUCAGAAGUGUGUAUAAAAGUCAAGCCCCCUGUCUUUCUUCGGGGCUCAUGCUAGGCCCGAGUGCAUUCAAUAAAAUCCUUCUGUUCCACC
This 558-nucleotide long non-coding RNA is filed under the name Homo sapiens (human). RNAcentral describes it as "HSALNT0295373". Lineage: Eukaryota; Metazoa; Chordata; Mammalia; Primates; Hominidae. The record is from RNAcentral.